CUGUGAUUGGUUGAUUAUGACAAUGACAAAAGAAUAAGCUAUAGAAUGGAUUUUCUAAAGAACGAAGCAAGAACAAUAUUCCUUUUGUUUAUGUAAGCCAAUUACGUCUUUUAUCAUUGUCAUAGUCAACCAGUCACAGAACAUCUUCCUAGAGCUUCGUGUUUACUGUCUGAUUUCAUCGCCAGUGGGGGUCACAGAACACCCAAAAUAAAUUGACUACUGAGUUAUCCUUCCGCCUACAAAAAUAC
This is a non-coding RNA of Paramuricea clavata, 248 nucleotides long. The record is from the annotation of a GenBank genome assembly. NCBI's taxonomy places the organism in Eukaryota, Metazoa, Cnidaria, Anthozoa, Malacalcyonacea, Plexauridae.